GAUGAACGCUAGCUACAGGCUUAACACAUGCAAGUCGAGGGGUAACGAGAGGGAAGCUUGCUUUCCUUGUCGACGACCGGCGCACGGGUGAGUAACGCGUAUCCAACCUGCCCCCAACUAGGGAAUAACCUUGCGAAAGUAAGACUAAUACCCUAUAAUUUCCUCAGAUGUCAUCUGACGAGGAAUAAAGAUUUAUCGGUUGUGGAUGGGGAUGCGUCUGAUUAGCUUGUUGGCGGGGUAACGGCCCACCAAGGCAACGAUCAGUAGGGGUUCUGAGAGGAAGGUCCCCCACAGUGGAACUGAGACACGGUCCAAACUCGUACGGGAGGCAGCAGUGAGGAAUAUUGGUCAAUGGGCGGAAGCCUGAACCAGCCAAGUAGCGUGCAGGAUGACGGCCCUAUGGGUUGUAAACUGCUUUUAUACAGGAAUAAAGUUAGCCACGUGUGGUUAUUUGUAGGUACUGUAUGAAUAAGGACCGGCUAAUUCCGUGCCAGCCGCCGCCGUAA
Molecule: ribosomal RNA, 506 nt
Filed under: uncultured bacterium
Lineage: Bacteria
Description: partial 16S ribosomal RNA
Rfam family: Bacterial small subunit ribosomal RNA
Source: RNAcentral